UGAUUUUUUUAAGAGCUUGUAAUAGAGGAAAUGGAAUCAUCUUUUGUCUUUCAUAUAUGUUACAAAUAUUGUUUCCUGAUAUCAUUUACUAUUUUUCUGUUUCAUAAGGCAAAAGUCACAGUGGUUUCUCUUUUCAAAUGACCUUGCCUUAUAGUUAAUGCAGAUUCCUCCCGUAUUCUGUCAAGGUUGUGUUUAGUCUUAGUCUGUGGUGUUACUUGGCAUUUCAGGCUAUCCUAUGGGUGCAUUAGCAUUUUAAUGAAAUAUUGCAAGGGGCUGCCCCAGAGGCUGCUAGCCAGAUGCUAUUCAAACCUGAAAGUCAAGAAAAUGACUUUUAGCUACAACCUGGUUAUCGCGGUCAUGGAUGUAAGUUAAUCAGAGGUAGCAGAAAUCACACUGCAUUAAUUCAUCAUUACUCAAAGCAUGGGCAGAUACACAGGCUGGGAAAUAAUGGGCAUGGGAUGCUGAUGCCAGUUCUUUGGAGUAUUUUUCACCCGCGGUUUGUCACACCUUAAGGCAUCUAGGUAUUUUACUUGAAGAGGCAUGAACCAGUAAAAUGGCAGCAGAAGGAAGGAUUAGGAAGGAAUCCUUACAGAAGGAAGGAUUUUUGAAAAUGCUCAGUCUAGGGAUAGUGCAAUUGCAACAGUGAAGAACAGAGAUUAUGUCUGAAAUCUUCUCUACCUUUACUGGCCACAAAGGACAAUGAAAGCACUGCGUGUGGACCCUAAAUAUACUGUCAGAGCAACCCUAGGAGAUAUAAGGAGCCCAGGUAAUCAAUCUUAGUCUCUCAGGAAGUUCUAUUUCACUCACCCUGAUAACCGUUGGCCCCUCCCAGGAUAAGGGAACGCCUGCCGCACAGACUUCCUCCUCUUUCCAAGUAUUACAGAUGUGCCAGCCCCUGGGUCCAGCGCCUCUGCUCCACAGAGCCUUCAGUGAGACCAGAAGGAGCCCAGGGCCAUCUUGCUAUUGUCUUGUCCAUGAAGAUCUACCCUUACCCCUCCUGAUGAGCCCAGACUUGAAGGUUAAGUAUCCCUGCUCUGGCAGUGUUGGUCUUUGGAAAUUACUUAACUGCCUUGGGCCUUAGUUUACUCAUCAGAACAAUGUGGUGUUGAUGCCUAUAUUCAGAGGAGAAAAUGAGAGAUCGCUGUGCAAGCAGCUGCCACAGUGUCUAGCCCACAGCAGGGGCUAACACACAUUCACAUCGCGUUUCCUCUGUCUGCUGCCCCAGAGGGCACAGUCUAGCUGGCCUUACCUCAAGCCCUACUGGCCUUAAUUCCAGUGUUUAGGACCCUUCCCAUGGGCUUUUCUUCCCUCUUCAGGAGCAGAGUGGGGGUGAGAACGUGUAGCACAAGACCUCAUGUACAUAGGUAUCCUGAGUAACCUUUGGUGAUAUCCUGAAGUGCCGGGGCUGCAUAUGCAGGUUUGGACCAACCAUGGGUCUCAGAGUAAAAGGAUGAUAAAGAAGGAAGGGGUGAGGUGCCAGUAGCCUGGGUGACACGGUGACAGUGCUGUAUGCACUUGGACUGCCCUAAGUGCAGAAGUCACAGAACCUCCCGCUGUUCACACCACCAGGCGUUGGAUUUUCUGCUGCUUGCAGCUCCAUGCAAUUCUACCUGAAGAAGAAAGCAUCCCCAUGAGAACCCAGGGGACCACUAAGAGGAGCCUCAAGCCAGCUGAGAAGGUCAGCGAUGGUUGAAAGAGCAGUGAUCCUGGGGGCUCAGAAGGUCCUGUUGACAUGUGGGCAAACCCACCCAGCCGCCCUCACAGUCCAGACAAGCCAAGCAAACAUCCUCCGGGCCUGCUGCCUUCCAAAGGACCUGCUCCUGGUGGGGGCCUGACAUCUUCGGAGACGCACCCUCUUUCCUGUCUUUUUCUCUCUCCCUGUUUCAAAGCAUUGUCAUCCCCAUAUCCACCCAACAUUUUGUAUCCUAGCUGCUGUUACUUCCCCGUCUUCCAGGUCUUUCCACCACUGAUUCAGAGAAGAGCAGGGCUUUCAUACAGCAAUGCAGAUGCAAGUUUGAAGCUCAGCAGAGGCAGGAUGUGCCGUCCGAGCCCUCCCAGAAUCCAGACAUGCGCUGCGCCCUGGUCAGCAGGAUGCAGUCUUUUGGGGGGUGCUGGCGUGUAGCUCGGGGAGCUGCUCCCGUGCAGAGCUAUUUGGGCCUGGUGAUGCAAAAGGAGAAGGAGAAGCAGGAAGCAUGUGGCCCUGGCCCUUUCUGGGACCUUGCCAGACUAUUUGAGGAGCAAGACCGUUUCCCCAGAUGCACGUGGAAGCCAGCAAGCCUGCAGCUGCUCAGAGCCUCCAAGGUACACGGCACACAGCUCCCCAGGAGCCAUGGACGCCAGGCAGGGGAUGGCUGAUGUCUGGCAAAACAUGGGGGAUGCCAUCUGAGAGCAUAGACUUGUCCCUGACACCUGUGAGCUGCCCCUGUGACUCCGGAAAGGCAUAGGGAGAUGUCAUCCCCACCCAGGAGCAGCUCAGGGCCCCAAACCACUGAGGGUUGGUGUUCCAUGGCUUAAUAUGUACCCUGGGGCAUCUGGGCCACAAUAGCCAUGUGACAGCGUGUUCACCUCUGAGCUUACCUCAGAGUCUGUCACCCCAUGUGUGAAAGGGUACUGAGAGCAGAUGGCGGGUACGCAGGAGGGUUCAAGUCUCAGCAUGGCCACAUACUGGCUGCAAUACUCGAGGCAAUUCACUGUAGCUCCCUGUGCCCUGGUUUUCCCAAAUGUUAAAUAAACAUAACACUAGUACCUAGUGUUAGGGUUUCUGCUACUUCUGGUCCUCGGAGAGGCAGAGCCGAGCUGGGAAGGGACGAGACACACAGGAGGACCUGCGGGGAAGUUGGGAAGCAUGGGGAGCUAGGACAGCCUUCAGACCGUCAGGUAGGUGUGUCCCCUGCUGGAUAGAGGGAGGACAGUUGGGGCAAGGCCACUGGGGGGUGUCACGAAACCAAAGUCACUGCCUGAGGAGUCCUGUGUCUCCUAGAGAUGGACCAGUCCUGGUGUGGGGUGCCACCUCGGGGCACAGUGGCCCAUUACACCCCCACAGCCAGAGUUCUGAGGGAGGUCUGCAGGUGCCUUCUCACACCGCUGCUGUCAUGAGAAUGAUGUGCUCCCGGGUCUCUCUGCUGGCUGAUAUCCCUCAGGGAAGCCCGGUCCCCCAGCACCCAGCCUCCACUGGUCAGCGCCUCGGCCGAGGAGGGAGGGAAGCUCGGAACACUCUCCUCCCAGCAUGAUGCAGAUCUGUUUUACUGCUCACUGUCUCUUGGUCACCAGUGUAAUGACAUUCAUCUCCAUUGUCAAGGGGAAGCUGAGGAAGCCCAUACUUCUCCUUUGGGGUGUGAGUUGCAAAAACUCUUCUUCAAUCCCCAGUAUUAGAAAUCCUGUUUUUGCUUUCACAGCUAUGUGCAAAGUCUAAACAGUGUCUUUCUAAAAAUGGACAAAAGAAGCCACGACUUAUCUGGAAACAAACCCAAGACCCUAGGAAGUGAGGACUGAGAGAGGCUACUCCAGCAGGGGCACCUCCGCGCUUGAUGGGACAGGAGAGGUGCCACGAGGCACUCUGCAGGAUGGGUUGAUUCCCUCCCUUGUGUUUCCAAUUUAAGACACCUGGCCAGGGUCGGGUAGUCUGGAAAUUACGCACACCCAAAAGGGUAGCAUCAUGGCAUCCAGGGAAAUGUCAGCAUCCCAGGAUAAACCAACUCACAAAAAAAGAACUAUCUUUUGUGUGUGUGCGCUGCACAGAGGCACUGAGCCAGGUCACUGUGCCAAGGGUGUCUGCAGCCUCCACAGUCCCUGGCCUGAUUGUAACCCAACCACAGGGCAGCCCCCAAAAUCUGAGAACUCAGUCCCUCCAAGUCAGUCACACCAUCGUACACCUACACAAAGCUAAUAGGGAAGUUUGGGGUACGCCUCAAGUUGACAAGGUCAAGUGCAUGAUCUUUCCCAGAGCUCGUUCUUUCAUUCCCAGAGAGUAUCUGUGACUGGUUCCUGCCCCAGCCCCCAUGAGGGAGCCUCUCUGGCUAAGCUGACAGGAAAUCCACUCUGGGUGCUCUCUUCCAUGACCGGUGGAGGGGGAGGGAGUGUACAGCAAAGAGGAGUAAGCAUCCAGAUUUCCACAAGGAAGACAUUCAGGCACAUAUCCCCAGUGGAAAGGCUGACUUUCUAGAACUUGCUAGCUGACCCACCUGCCGCCCAGAACUGAAUUUGAUGGACUUUUACUUAAUUCCAUAUAAAAAAUAGCCCAUUUUGUGGAUGGAGUUGGUUCCCUUCAAAACUGUCCUUGCAGAGACCUCAUCUGGAAUGGCCCAAUCAUAGGAUGACCUCUACAGUGAAUUUAGUGCAUGCUUUAUCUGAGAGCAUUAAUGGCCAUGCACAUGGACUGGCCUUCCUCAAACCGGCCAGUUGACUUUUACCCUGAUUCUUUUCCCGAACAACCAUAUCUGAAAGACUGUAUGGUGGCACGGUGACAAGUGGGAGCUCCAGAGGGACACAGUCUGGUGCAAAUCCUAGCUCUUUCAUCCACCAGUUGGGAGACUUUGGGCCAGUUUUUAACAAUUUGGGGCUCAGUUUCUUCCUCUGUAAAGUGAGAAUGACAGUAAUAGCUCCCCUCAUACUGCUAUAAGAAUUAAAUGAAUAUUUGUGAAGUUCUCAGACCCAUGCCUGGCACAUAGCUAGCAUCCCCUGAAUACUUGCUAUAGUGCUGAUGGCUGUCUUUAUUAGACAUGCCCUGCGAGCAGAAGCUGGGAUUUGAACACAGGACCAUGUUACUACUCAGUCACACUUUUUUCCAUGAAGCUGUUUUUAAUUUGGAAAUUUCCAUUCCUUAAAGUUCAAAACCAAACAUCAGGAACUGAAAGGAGAGGCCACCUGCUCUCUCUAGUCACUGCUAUGUAACUAGAUGUCUUUAAAUUAUGGUGGCCUUCUCUUUCAGCCUGCUGAUUCAUGUUGCCUGGGCCUCCCCCAGGCUGCAAGCACCCAGUUCUCCUCCUCUCGGACAGAAAUCGUCAUUCUAUCUAUGGGAAUAGGAAGAGAAUGUCAGAGGGAUUCUGGGGAUAUUCACUUCAAAUUUUUUCAUCUUUACAUUCUGAGAAAAUUAAAUGAAUCAUUUUAAGCAGCCUGAAAAAUGACUUCUCGAAUAUUUAACCAGAUUAAGAAUUAAGAUUAAGAAAGUUUUCUUCCGCUUUUUUCCCCAACUUUUACUUUGAAAAAGUUCAAAGCUAAAAAGUCAAGCAAGUUAUUAUAACAAACACCAACCUUUAUCUGGAUUCGCCAAUUUUAACAAUCUGUUACAUUUGUUUGACCUUUCUUUAUAGACAUACACACACACACACAGAUUUUUCUUUGGCUGAAGAAUAAGUUACAAACAUCCUGAUAUUGAACUCCUAAUUGUAUCAGCACAUAUCUUCAAAGAGGAAGGACUCCUCCCACAUAACCACAAAACCAUUAUCACACCCAAGAAAUUUAACAUUAAUUCAAUAAUAUAA
This is a long non-coding RNA of Callorhinus ursinus (northern fur seal), 5480 nucleotides long. RefSeq lists it as uncharacterized. The record is from RefSeq and is a predicted model, not a curated record. Lineage: Eukaryota; Metazoa; Chordata; Mammalia; Carnivora; Otariidae.